Molecule: long non-coding RNA, 4056 nt
Filed under: Oreochromis niloticus (Nile tilapia)
Lineage: Eukaryota; Metazoa; Chordata; Actinopteri; Cichliformes; Cichlidae
Description: lncRNA (ENSONIG00000038303.1)
Source: RNAcentral
AUGAUCUGCUUUGUUGUCCUCUCAGUUCCCCAGGUGGAGGUGGAUUCAAGGGUGGAGUCUGUCGAGCUGCCCUUCAAAACCACACUUGACCUGCCUGAAGAAUCUAAAGUGGAGUGGAAGGACAAUGCCUGGGAUACAGUUCACAUGUAUAAGAACGGCUCUGACCAGCCUGAAGAACAGCACCAGGCUUAUACAAACCGAACGAAGAUGAAUGACCUCCUGCAAACUGGAGACCUCAGUCUGACCCUGAAGUACCCCACAGAUGGAGACAACUACACCUACACCUGCACCGUCUACGGCAAGGAGGGAAACAUCCUGCUAAAGAAACAAGUGGAGUUGAAAGUCAGAGUCUUUCAGGUGGAGGUGGAGGAGGGGGCGGAGUCUGUCAAGCUUCCCUUCAAAACCACAGAAAACCUGCCUGGAGAUGCUAAAGUGGAGUGGAAGGAUAGUCGCAUGAGGAUUCACGUGUAUGAAGGGUUCCCUGACAAGCCUGACCAACAGGACCAGGUUUACGACCGAACGAAGAUGAAUAAAAACCCACUGAAAACUGGGGACCUCAGUCUGACUCUGAACAACCCCAUACAGACAGACAGUGGAGAAUACAGCUGUGGAGUCUCGAUUGGUGACAACAACUUAAUAAGAUACAAAACAGUGCAGCUCAGAGUCAACGGUCCAGGAUUAAACAGGACAUUAAAGAGGACAUCAGGAACAGAAGCAGCUCCAUUGAUCUGACUCCUCUGAUGGCUGAUCAAUCAGUUUGAUCUGUGUGUUCUUUGAUUAUUGAUCAGUGAUGUAUGUAAAUAUCACGAUCACAUGACCAUAUUAAUGCUUUUUGUUCUCACUUAAUUUGUCUUUUUCUAUUGGGAAUUUGGGUUUGAUCUAAAAUAUUAUAAUAAUAAUUAUUCUAUGAAUUUAACCUCCGUCACUCUGACCUUUGAACUUUUUCUGCAUUUUGUGGUUUUCCUGUGUCAGCGUUGUAAUACAAAAACACAGAUUCUACGGUUAAGUCAAGUUUCCUGGUGUUGGUGUUCAGAUGUGGUGUAGUGUAGUCCAUGCGCAGGUCACAUGACUCUGUCCAACAGCCUAGAGAAGAAAGAUGAGCAGACGCCUUGUUUAAAGCUAAAAAUUAUAGCCCAGAAAGGGAUAACGAUGGUGUGACAGAGACGAGGAAUAUGGAAAAUCAAUCGAGGGAGCAGAAAGCACGACAGCUGAUCAGUCAAAGUCCAGGACAGGUGUUCUGACACGAUGCAGACUGAUGAGGAAACAGGAUGGGUGGUGGGAGCUUAUAGAAACAAGCAGCAUAGCUCAAAUCUGACAGGUUUCCAUGUGCUGUUUGUAGACUGAUUAUUAUCUGUUAACACACAAAACAAAAACAGUUGGCUGACCUUUAACCCGAUCGAGUGUUCUAGCAGUUACAUAGUUACAUGGAGAAACCUUUUGAAUACAAGUACGCUCAUCCCCACACGUUUACACAGACACAAACUAUACUUUUCUUGGCUGCUACCUCAAAGCACAUUGUGCGCUGCGUGUUGCACAAUAAUAUUCAAUAUUUAGUAUUUACUGUUAGACUUAGCUAGAUUAUUGUGAUGGUGUUGUGUUUUUAUGUUGCUCUCUUUUCUGCUUGUUUUCUUUUUUUCUCUCUCUCUUCUCUCAACAGGUGAUCCAGUUGAAUUUUUUUUUCAAUUUUUUUCUUGUUUUUAAGUGCCUUUUCUUAUUGUCCCUCUUCCCCUCUAUUUUUCUUUACCUCCUCUUUCUUUCUCCCUUUACUGUCCCCCAGUCACAUCUGUCCUGUCUGUAACAACUGAAAAUAAAAUAAAAAUUAAAUAUAUAAAUAAUAAUAACAAAGGUCAAUCAAAUGGACCAAUACGGCAAGGCCAUGAUGAUCCAUUUGGUAAAGUGGAUCAUCAGCAAUUCUGAUGGCUAAAGAACAAAACGGGACAGGCAAAAUAAAAUAAUAAUAAUAAAAAUUAAAAAAAUUGAUCCAGUGUUGUUGUUCUUCUGUGGUAUUUGUGAUUGAGCAGCUUCUCCUCAUGUGUUUGAUGACACCAUGUUUUCUGCAACUUCAGCAAAGUUAGACCUUUUUAUGUUUUUAAUAACAGCUCAAAAUACAUAAGCUUCAACACUGAUGAUGCAAAGAGCUAAAUUUCUUUUUUUUUUAACAUAUAAAAAUUGUAUAAAGCUUCACAAUUUACUCCUGAAUUUAAUCUUGCUUACUUAGAAAGAAAUAAACUAAAAUAAACCAAUUAUUAGUCUCUAAUAUUUAUGCUCAUUUCAUUUUAAUGAGAGAGUCAGAAAAUCACAUAAAAGUUAUAAGUUGUUUUUGUAAUGGAAGAUUUCUUUUGUUCUCAUUUAAAGUGCUCAUGCGCAGGCUCAGUUGUGACAUGGUAAUGGGAAAUUCCGCUGAACAGUUUAGGGCUAGCUGAAUUUGUUUUGAUGUUGAAAACAACUAAAACUGCAACAUCUGUUUUGAUCAUGCUGGGGUAAAGACCGCAGAGCCUGAAAAGAGGAAGUAGCUGUUGUUGUGAAAGGAUAAAUAGAUGCUGCCACGCCUUGAGAGCUCAGUGCUUGCAUGACUGUAUUAACCGUCUGUUUCCUCUCCCAUGCAUGAUAAUAAAGGCGUUGAUUACAGCUAACCGUGUCUGCAGACUUUGUAAUCACAAUUCCACCACAGUUUGUGUGUUAAGUAGCUGAAAACUACUAGACAUAAGGUAACGAGAAAGCAACACUAGAAACAGCAGACAGGAGGUACCAAAAUCAAAUGUAACAGAGAGUUUACAGAGGAGGGCGCACAGGAGGGCUUGAAAACCAGAAACCCAGGAAAUCAAAAUAAAAACUAAGAAACCAUAAUAAUAAAACCAAAACAGGAAAUAAAUCAAAUACCACAAUCAAAAUGACAUGAACAAUGAACACUGUGCAGAAAUACAACAAUCAAAUGUUUGUUUAUUCAGAUAACCAUUACGUUAACUAUGUUCAGUACAACCUGCAUGUAUAUUUUUCCCGGACUUCAGCUAGAAUGAAAAAAAAGGCACAAAGCUGGAGUUAUUCUGUCGUUACGCUGCAGCUGUUUCUUCUUCUCUCAUUCUCUCCCUCUCCCUCUCCUGUUGCUACUUCAAUCACGAAACUGAUCAAUGAUCAGCUGAUCGGUGUUUCUGUCGCAAGUCCCGUCUCUCUUGCUUGUUUGUCUCCCACUUUGCCAGAAAGAGCAGCAGAAGCACCUGUAAACUUGAUCAGCUGUUGUUAGAAUUCAUUUAAUAUUACUUUCUAGUAUCAGCUGAUGUUUGCUGGAGCCACAGCCAGAGCUCUAGACUAACUUUUUGACAUGGGCGCACCGGUACGCCUAACUUUAAAAAUUUAGGCGUACAGGUGUUGUGCCCAAAAGUGAUUGUCUGCCAGAAACUGAUUGCCGUCCGCGGGAGCGCGCGCAGCUGCUUAAAGCUGCAGCGCCCGGAUUACUUGCAGCUACUUCCGUGCAACUGAUAUAACGUGGGGGGGGGGAAAAAAACCAAAGACAUUUAUGCCUUUGUUAUUAGACAAAGGUAUGCAUUUAUGGAACUUUAACGUUUCUUGUAACCGAAUUAUGACGCUUAUCAGAAGGUUGCUUUCAGUGUGUAGCGCAGUCACGAAUGACUACACGCAUCACGAUGGAAUAAUUAAUGCCUACAGGUUUAGUAUGUCUACUCUCGUUGUUCAUGUUUGUUAUAAGACUGUCGAAUAGUAGUUAAAAAAAAUAAAGACCUAUUGUGCCAGUAUCACCAUGACUCUUUCUUGUUUGCUCAGAAUAACGACUGAGAACAUGGCAUUUUAGCGCUACCAAAAAAGUGAUUGUGGCCUAUAACUUGUCACUGAAACAAUAUUUCGGUUUCAAACUUGUUGGAUAUAUUCCAGAAGGGUUACAUGUGAUAUAUUAUAUCCCAGAAACUCUCCAAGAACUGCUGAAUAACUUGUACAGGAACAAUAAAACUGAUAAUAUGCAAUUUCCAACCUGCCAAAAAGUGAUUGUGGUCUAUAACUUGUCACUGAAAUACUAUUUCUGCUUCAAACUAACUGCUUCAAUAG